Molecule: ribosomal RNA, 253 nt
Filed under: uncultured bacterium
Lineage: Bacteria
Description: partial 16S ribosomal RNA
Rfam family: Bacterial small subunit ribosomal RNA
Source: RNAcentral
UACGAAGGGUGCAAGCGUUACUCGGAAUUACUGGGCGUAAAGCGUGCGUAGGUGGUUCGUUAAGUCUGAUGUGAAAGCCCUGGGCUCAACCUGGGAAUGGCAUUGGAAACUGGCGACCUAGAGUACGGUAGAGGGUAGUGGAAUUCCCGGUGUAGCAGUGAAAUGCGUAGAGAUCGGGAGGAACAUCCGUGGCGAAGGCGACUACCUGGACCAGCACUGACACUGAGGCACGAAAGCGUGGGGAGCAAACAGG